This is a small nuclear RNA of Otolemur garnettii (small-eared galago), 164 nucleotides long. Its record names the gene U1. It matches the Rfam family "U1 spliceosomal RNA". Rfam says of the family: U1 is a small nuclear RNA (snRNA) component of the spliceosome (involved in pre-mRNA splicing). Its 5' end forms complementary base pairs with the 5' splice junction, thus defining the 5' donor site of an intron. NCBI's taxonomy places the organism in Eukaryota, Metazoa, Chordata, Mammalia, Primates, Galagidae. The record is from Ensembl.
AUACUUACCUGGCAGGGGAGAUACCAUGAUCACGAAGGUGGUUUUCCCAGGGCGAGGCUUAUCCAUUGCACUCCGGAUGUGCUGACCCCUGCGAUUUCCCCAAAUGUGGGAAACUCGACUGCAUAAUUUGUGGUAGUGGGGGACUGCGUUUGCGCUCUCCCCUG